Peromyscus eremicus (cactus mouse) is the source of this 1326-nucleotide RNA transcript. It is a transcript of the gene named CMT1A duplicated region transcript 4, with no coding region annotated. The record is from RefSeq and is a predicted model, not a curated record. The transcript has 5 exons. Lineage: Eukaryota; Metazoa; Chordata; Mammalia; Rodentia; Cricetidae.
UGCCUCUCCUCCUUUUGGAUGACCGGCUACUAGACCACCUCAGGCCAGCAGCAAGAUCAUGGCUGGCUGCAACAGACAGAGGACAGCAGGGGACCUGGGAUCUAGUGUUCAGGGGACAACAGGAGACAAAGAAUAAUCCCUGGGCCAAGAAGCAGCCAAGAUAUCAAGACGAGGAUGUGGAAUUUCAGGGACCUCUCAGAGUCAGCGGAAGCGGGGCGAGCACCUUGGCUCAGGGCUUUGGAGAAAUGGAAUUCGUUAAGGAGCAGGGAAAGGGGAGCGCAUGUCGUUGGCCCUGUCCUGUCCAGGGAGCACACACACACGCGGGCAGGAGGCAGCUCCUUCGCGUCCACAGAGCCUCCUUUCUUCAGGAAAAGUGACUCUUUCACAGCUCUUGGAGGGAAGGAAAUGGAAAGUCCCACAGCAUCAGGAGCCCCUCUCCCCUCAAGAUUGCUUUCUGCUUCUCAAGCCAGCAAGCAGAGAGAGAUGGAUUCCGGCAUCAGCCUGUUUUCUGCUCUUCACUUAGCGGAGGAUCUCAGCUCACAGCAUGGUGCCUCCCACAUUCAGCAUGGCUUUUCCCUCCUCAGCUCCUCCUUUCUGGAACCACCCUCAGACAGACUCAGAGGUUAGAGAUGGCAAGAUGAAUUUGUUUAACUCUUCUGCCUCCCAAACUCCCACUGAAAUGACCUAAGACUAUAAAACCAGGGCAAGGAUGCGCCACCAGGGAAAAUGGGGCAGUGGCAGAUGCAGGGGAGGUGCUUGUCAUUUCUGGUACACAGAGUACAGCCAAGAUUCGAGAAGGAAGGCCUGUCCUGCCCAGGACUCGGUAUCUGCUAAGGAACUAGCAAACGGGUAGGUAGAAUUCUCCUCAGAGCUCCCACCCAUGGUCUCAAACAUCAGAACUUCUGGACAGCUGGACAGCAGCCACAGGGAGGAACGUGUUACCGUUGAGUUCAGACCCACCAUCAGGAAGCUAUACUAACUUACAAGCCUCAGUUCUGUCCUUUGUCAAAUAGGGAGGACGUCUACAUCACAAGACGCAGUAAGGAUGAGAAACAGUGCGCGUUCAGAGACUCAGCCGGAAGGUAACUCGUCCAGAGACUCAGCUGCUAAGGGUUUGGUGCAAGUUAUUGCUAAUCUGCAAGGAAGCCUUCGGAAAGUGGUCUCAUUCUAAUCAGGCAAUGCCUCUAAUGAGGCAACCAGAGUUCUGAGAGGUGGAACACACAGAAAACACCGAACUCCCUCUGACACUACUUGAAAAACACAACCCUUGGCCAGCCUAUGUCACACACACCUCCCUGGCAGUCAGGCGGCUCAUUGACAAGAGCA